UAUCUGCCUGGUGCACCUGUCAUCUCUACAAGGCCCUGGACUAGUUUGCUGUAGCCUCUGGAAAGAGAAGAGUUGGCUACCGACUCCUUGCCAUUGACGUUUCAUCUCAUUUGUCGGAAUAGCGUGAAGACCUAGAUUUUAAACCUGUUCUGGACUCUCACCCUGACCCACAGAACCUGCAUCAUCUGCUUGGGUAACACCGAACCAGAUUUCACCUGAUCCUUCUGAACUGAGGGAGGGGAAUAUCACAAAAGCACCAGAAGAACACUAGCCUCCCAGAGGCCUGAUGGGAUUUCCUGUACCAGAACGACUUGGACAGAGAAAGAGCCUCAUUGUUCAGAGCCCAGCAGUUGGCGGUGAAGGGCCAGGAUCCUGGAUCAUUGUUAACGUUUUCGACCCCAAGGAAAAUGACCGUCAUGCCUCCUCAUCUUACUGCUGCCAAGUUCGAGUCCAGCGGAGGGCCUGAUGCUACGGAGACACAUCGGUGGAUCCCAGCUUUUAUGACCCAGACCAUUCUCCAAGAAGCAGUGUACCAAACUCUGGUUUCAUGGAAGCUCUCCUGACCCUCUACUCAGGAAUUCCCCAAUGGACUGUGACAGGGCUGUCCAUCACCCACAAGUCCUCCUAGCAGUGGAGAUGUAAGAGUUAUUGCCGUUAACCAAUAUCCGGAGGCAGACGAUCCUCCCUGGGACAUAGCGUCAGAAGGUCACCCAACGCUACGACACAAUGCCUACAUCACUUCCUUUCGUUGAGUAGACAUUUAAUCAGCUCGCAUCAUCACAAG
Herpailurus yagouaroundi (jaguarundi) is the source of this 784-nucleotide long non-coding RNA. RefSeq lists it as uncharacterized. The record is from RefSeq and is a predicted model, not a curated record. Lineage: Eukaryota; Metazoa; Chordata; Mammalia; Carnivora; Felidae. The transcript has 6 exons.